This 494-nucleotide ribosomal RNA is filed under the name uncultured bacterium. Its description in RNAcentral is "partial 16S ribosomal RNA". It matches the Rfam family "Bacterial small subunit ribosomal RNA", at positions 28 to 507 of the family's 1533-position model. The record is from RNAcentral.
GACGAACGCUGGCGGCGUGCUUAACACAUGCAAGUCGAACGGUGAAGCGCCUUCCUUUUUGGUGGGUGUGGAUGAGUGGCGAACGGGUGAGUAACACGUGAGUAACCUGCCCCCUUCUUCUGGAUAACCGCAUGAAAGUGUGGCUAAUACGGGAUAUUCUGGGUCUGUCGCAUGAUGGGUCUGGGAAAGAUAUUGUUUCGGUGGGGGAUGGGCUCGCGGCCUAUCAGCUUGUUGGUGGGGUGAUGGCCUACCAAGGCGGUGACGGGUAGCCGGCCUGAGAGGGUGGACGGUCACACUGGAACUGAGACACGGCCCAGACUCCUACGGGAGGCAGCAGUGGGGAAUAUUGCACAAUGGGCGAAAGCCUGAUGCAGCGACGCCGCGUGAGGGAUGGAGGCCUUCGGGUUGUGAACCUCUUUCGCCAGUGAAGCAGGCCUGCCUCGUUUGUGGGUGGGUUGACGGUAGCUGGAGAAGAAGCGCCGGCUAACUACGUG